This 450-nucleotide ribosomal RNA is filed under the name uncultured bacterium. RNAcentral's name for it is "partial 16S ribosomal RNA". It matches the Rfam family "Bacterial small subunit ribosomal RNA", at positions 354 to 796 of the family's 1533-position model. The record is from RNAcentral.
GUGGGGAAUAUUGGACAAUGGGCGAAAGCCUGAUCCAGCCAUGCCGCGUGUGUGAAGAAGGUCUUCGGAUUGUAAAGCACUUUAAGUUGGGAGGAAGGGCAGUAAGUUAAUACCUUGCUGUUUUGACGUUACCGACAGAAUAAGCACCGGCUAACUUCGUGCCAGCAGCCGCGGUAAUACGCAGGGUGCAAGCGUUAAUCGGAAUUACUGGGCGUAAAGCGCGCGUAGGUGGUUUUGUAAGUUGGAGGUGAAAUCCCCUGGCUCAACCUGGGAACUGCCUCCAAAACUGCAUGACUAGAGUACGGUAGAGGGUAGUGGAAUUUCCUGUGUAGCGGUGAAAUGCGUAGAUAUAGGAAGGAACACCAGUGGCGAAGGCGACUACCUGGACUGAUACUGACACUGAGGUGCGAAAGCGUGGGGAGCAAACAGGAUUAGAUACCCUAGUAGUCC